This is a small nuclear RNA of Peromyscus maniculatus bairdii (prairie deer mouse), 163 nucleotides long. Its record names the gene U1. It matches the Rfam family "U1 spliceosomal RNA". From Rfam's summary of the family: U1 is a small nuclear RNA (snRNA) component of the spliceosome (involved in pre-mRNA splicing). Its 5' end forms complementary base pairs with the 5' splice junction, thus defining the 5' donor site of an intron. NCBI's taxonomy places the organism in Eukaryota, Metazoa, Chordata, Mammalia, Rodentia, Cricetidae. The record is from Ensembl.
AUACUUACCUGACAGGGGAGACACCACAAUCAGGAAGUGGUCUUCCCAAAGUGAGACUCAUCCAUUCCACUUGUUAUGUGCUCACUCCUGUGCUUUGCCCAAAUGCAGAAAACUUGACUGUAUAAUUUGUGGUAGCAGGAGACUGUGUUCACACUCUGUCCUG